This 497-nucleotide ribosomal RNA is filed under the name uncultured bacterium. RNAcentral describes it as "partial 16S ribosomal RNA". It matches the Rfam family "Bacterial small subunit ribosomal RNA", at positions 28 to 507 of the family's 1533-position model. The record is from RNAcentral.
GAUGAACGCUGGCGGCGUGCCUAAUACAUGCAAGUCGAGCGAACAGACGAGGAGCUUGCUCCUCUGACGUUAGCGGCGGACGGGUGAGUAACACGUGGAUAACCUACCUAUAAGACUGGGAUAACUUCGGGAAACCGGAGCUAAUACCGGAUAACAUGUUGAACCGCAUGGUUCAACAGUGAAAGACGGUCUUUCUGUCACCUAUAGAUGGAUCCGCGUCGCAUUAGCUAGUUGGUAAGGUAACGGCUUACCAAGGCAACGAUGCGUAGCCGACCUGAGAGGGUGAUCGGCCACACGGGAACUGAGACACGGUCCAGACUCCUACGGGAGGCAGCAGUAGGGAAUCUUCCGCAAUGGGCGAAAGCCUGACGGAGCAACGCCGCGUGAGUGAAGAAGGUCUUCGGAUCGUAAAACUCUGUUAUUAGGGAAGAACAAAUGUGUAAGUAACUAUGCACGUCUUGACGGUACCUAAUCAGAAAGCCACGGCUAACUACGUG